UGCGUAGGCGGACUAAUAAGUCAGUGGUGAAAUCUUUCGGCUUAACCGAGCAACUGCCAUUGAAACUGUUAGCCUUGAGUUCGGUUGAGGUAGGCGGAAUGUGUAAUGUAGCGGUGAAAUGCUUAGAUAUUACACAGAACACCAAUUGCGUAGGCAGCUUACUAGACCGAAACUGACGCUGAGGCACGAAAGCGUGGGUAGCGAACAGGAUUAGAUACCCUGGUAGUCC
Molecule: ribosomal RNA, 229 nt
Filed under: uncultured bacterium
Lineage: Bacteria
Description: partial 16S ribosomal RNA
Rfam family: Bacterial small subunit ribosomal RNA
Source: RNAcentral